GAUGAACGCUGGCGGCGUGCCUAAUACAUGCAAGUCGAGCGAAUGGAUUAAGAGCUUGCUCUUAUGAAGUUAGCGGCGGACGGGUGAGUAACACGUGGGUAACCUGCCCAUAAGACUGGGAUAACUCCGGGAAACCGGGGCUAAUACCGGAUAACAUUUUGAACCGCAUGGUUCGAAAUUGAAAGGCGACUUCGGCUGUCACUUAUGGAUGGACCCGCGUCGCAUUAGCUAGUUGGUGAGGUAACGGCUCACCAAGGCAACGAUGCGUAGCCGACCUGGGAGGGUGAUCGGCCACACGGGGACUGAGACACGGCCCAGACUCCUACGGGAGGCAGCAGUAGGGAAUCUUCCGCAAUGGACGAAAGUCUGACGGAGCAACGCCGCGUGAGUGAUGAAGGCUUUCGGGUCGUAAAACUCUGUUGUUAGGGAAGAACAAGUGCUAGUUGAAUAAGCUGGCACCUUGACGGUACCUAACCAGAAAGCCACGGCUAACUACGUGCCAGCAGCCGCCGCGG
Molecule: ribosomal RNA, 515 nt
Filed under: uncultured bacterium
Lineage: Bacteria
Description: partial 16S ribosomal RNA
Rfam family: Bacterial small subunit ribosomal RNA
Source: RNAcentral